UUCCCUUCUCGUCUUCUAAUAGUAGCUGAAACCACAUCCAGAUCCAAACUCUAAUACUUGUUACACUCACAACACUGUAUCUGCCCAUUCCUGCCGUCCUCUAUUCAUAGUGAGGGUUGUCUGUGAUGCCCACUGCAGCCCUGCAGAGCAGCACACCCGGCUCAGAGCCACGCAGAAGCAGAGCAUUGCCCUCCUCCUUCUCUUUUCUUCCUCGUUUCAGUCUUGCUGACCCGGCUGAUGGCAAUCAGCAUCCCUGGGAGCAGAGAGUUCACCGGUUUGCACAGCAGCUCUCUGUCCUGUCUGGAUUUCGGGGCAGUGAUGGAAACUGGCAUUUAGGAGCCCAAAAGGCCCUCACGUGUUUGUAACCACACGCUGGAAAUCGCAGUGCAAACACUCCCCGUUCCCCACUGCAUCACGCUCAGCCCUUCAGCACAUCCAAGGGACAAUAAAAGCCAUCUGAGGCAGUUUAACGAGACCCUCAGCUCUCUAUUUCCCCUGUAACCUGAGGGAUUCUAUUCACAGGGGCGUAAAUCCACUGAGUCAUUCAAUGCUGUCGUUGGCAGAAAAGGAGAAUUUAAAAGGGGGUUUUCUCGUGUUGCCUGAGCAUCCACCUUGUGAAACGGUGCAACCUCAGCCUUUCAAAUCUGAGAGAGAAUAAACAGACGUACUUUCACAGGUACUGCAUCAGUGUUUUUGCUUUCAGCGCAUAAUCCAAGCUUUUAUCUCUUAUUUCUCUUAUUUCAGAGAAGUUAAAGGCUUUCACCGAUGAUCUCUCAUGCACCUUCAGCCAGAUUUUGAAUUACUGCUUUCUGAGGUUCCAUGCAAAAACAUGCUCAGGUCUCCUGCCUGUCUGAUAAAUGCUUCCACAUGAAACCUGCUGUAUAAAUCUGUGUUAACACUUUCCUGGUGCUUUUUUUUUAUGUUUUGGCAAUUUUUGAUAACUCUUGUGGCAGUUUAGUAAUGAUUUUUGUAUUAGGAAGCACCCAGCCAAACUAAUGGAAAAUAGGUUAUAAAGUUUGGUGGCAAGACUAAUCAGUAAAAGUGAAGUGAAUGCUCAGGGGUAUUGGCUUGAUUUCUUCUUAGAAAACAGUCCACAUACCCUCCUAUGAAAGCAUUUAAUUCUAGUAAAAAUCAUCCUCAGGCAUUUAAAAUAGCGGGAAGGAACACAGACAAACUGUGCAUGACACUGCUUCUGAGGGAUGUAACUGCACCAACAAUGACAUGAUCUGAUUCUCAGAAGGAGCCCAAAAUAUUUGUGUAGAAGCAUUGCAGAGAAUUGUCUUAUUUAUCCCAGAACCACACCAAGAGUUUACCGUACCUGAAGGCAGGCAGGCAGGGUGAGUCUGAGCAGGUGGAUUGGCUGCUGCUUCGUAAUCUCAACUGUAAGAUGGAGACACUCAACAUGUAUGGGUUAAAUGGAAUUACACUUCUGCUUGUGCCAAUGGACAUUUUAGUAGCCCUCCUUAAACAUAUUCUGAAACACUUUAAAGUUUACUGUUUCUGAAAUGGUGUAUGCCAGUAGUCUUGUGGUGAUCGUUCUGAAGAGGCUGCUGAUAUGGGAUAUUCUUGGUUGAUGUAGAAUAUUAAUGCAGCCAUUAAUGUAAAGACAGCACCACUCCAAUUUUCUGUACUGCAAAUAUUGCAGCAGCCACAGUCUCACAGGCUCAGAAAUCCAAAGAGCUCUGAGUUCUUCCUAGUUUUAUAGAUGCUUAUGGGAUAUCCACUUCUCCAAUUUGUCCCUGACUAUCCUCUAUGGGUUGGUCAUCUCAGCAGGAAGCACACUCCUCUCUGGAGCAGAACUAGCUAACAGGUCGGGCAUGGAACAGGCUUCCCAGGGCAGUGGACUCAGUCCCAAGCUGACACAUCUCAAGGAGCAUUUGGAUAAUGCUCUUAGUCAUAGGGUUGAAUUUUGGGUUGUCCUGUAUGGAGCUGGAGUUGUACUCGAUCUGUGUGGGUCCCUUCCAGUUGAGGUUAUUUUGUGAUUCUAUGAUUCUAAAAAGAAAUGUUAGGGAAUAUAAAGAGCUAGCAAACCAGCUAGCAUGGGAAGAGAGGAAAUUCACCCCAGAAGAUACAGCCAAGCUAUGAACCAAAGUGCUUAGUUUUGAGUCCAGUGGAUAAACAUUUUCAAUGGCUUCUUAGUAUGGUUUGUCAUUGCAUUGCCAACAGCAGGUCUGGUAGUCCAUGUGAAAUGAUUUGUUUGGACUACAUGUGGUAGGUUGUACAGGGAGAAACAAAGGCAGGUGUGUAUAGCAAAAUAACCAGAGCCAAAUCAUAUACAGAGAGGGGAGAGGAGUUUAAGUCAAUUAUAGAGAUAGAGGCAGCACAUAUAGGCAUUUCUUCAAAUUUUCUUAGGCUUCUGGCAAGAUUUAUGUACAAAGGCAAAGGAGAAGAUUUUAGUUGCAUUUGCCAAACCCAUAAAUGAAAUCAUCUUGUUUCUUACUGAUUGUGAUUUGCUCUGAAUCCCUUCCAAUGUGUAUGAAAAUCAGUGUUCCACACUUCACUGAGAGAAGUCCUGGGAAUUACCAACGGAGAAUGAAUAAUGAAGUGUACAAAUACGUGAAUGAGUAGCAAAGUCAUCCAGAAGCAGCCUUCAAACACUGCACAAGUUAAUGUGAUCUAAUCUGAUAUAUUUGUGCUCAUGUUCAUGCUGAGGUCAGAGCCUGAAUAGAUUGGAUAAUCCAAAUGAGAAAAAAAUUAAGCCUACGGACCUCUUGUUUAAAUUGGCUGCUGUUGCUUUAUUUUGGUUCUUUCUGCUCUCCGUCUGUAAUAUUGCAAUAGAGCUGUAGAUUUUAUUUUUAACAUUUAUGCCUUCACUUGUUAGAAUCUUGAUUUUCUCUCCUUUCAACCUGAAUAAUAUGGGUCACCUCUAUCUUUCUUAUCUUAAGUAAACUCAAGGAAAUGCUUGUUCCUGUUCUGAACAAGUCAGCAUCCUUCAUCCUUUUCUGUUGUCACGGCUGCCGCCACCACCAUCAUCAUUAUGAGAGGAGAUCUGGUGAGAGAGAUGAUCUGAUCUUCCCCAGGAGGCUGAGUCUGCUGUUCUGGGGCUGCUGGAGUUCCCUUCCGCAGAACACUUCUGUUCUCCAGCCUACUGCCAGUAGAGCAAUUAAACUGCCUAUUACAUUAAUAGUUUCAAUUAGAAUUAUAAUCUACUUCUCUUUAAUAUUCAUAUUGGUUUGUACUAAUGUUAUUUAGCUAUUAAUUCCCUGAGCUGAUUAGGAUGAAUAAGCUGCCAUUUUCAAUUCUUGGAUGUGGUGCAAUAUCCUUAGCUCUUGUAAGCUCCUGCUUGCAUGUGGCUCAGUGCAGAACCAGGACCUUCCAUUCAGGUGCUUCAUUAUUGCCUUGUGCCUAACAACAAUUCCAGAGCUACAGAACCAGGAGACACCAUAGCAGCAGAACUCCGCAGCUUUGUAAAGAAGUCUGUUUUGUCUCACUCCCUGGAGAGGCUGAAGAAUAAAAGCUUAGAGAAGCAUAGUUCCAAGUUUCAAGUCCACGGUUUAGAAGAUAGUCUAAUGUCAUCUCCCUCAUUAAUGAGGCCCUGAAAUAGUUGCUGAAGUUCUUGAAAAAUAUCUCAGUGAGAUUAUACUGCAUAAUGUCUACUUAUCCAUCAGCAGGAAUGUAAAAGACUGGAACAGAAAAAACGAUUUGCUUAAAGCGUCCAGAGUUUCCUGUUGCAUGGAGGGAGAAAUACAUCCAUUAAGCUGAGGAAAAAUAAAAAAAAAAAUACAGAAACAGACUGCAUAUUCAUGAGCUGAAAAUAUUCAUGGCUUCAAUACUACAUUAUGUCAUUUUUUGAAGCCAGAUACAGUACUGACUUAAUUGGAAUAAAUUUUUCAAUGUGUCCGGGAAUAAAA
Molecule: non-coding RNA, 3851 nt
Organism: Meleagris gallopavo (turkey)
Lineage: Eukaryota; Metazoa; Chordata; Aves; Galliformes; Phasianidae
Source: RefSeq, a predicted model, not a curated record